This 705-nucleotide long non-coding RNA is filed under the name Bactrocera tryoni. RNAcentral describes it as "uncharacterized LOC120767239, transcript variant X2". Lineage: Eukaryota; Metazoa; Arthropoda; Insecta; Diptera; Tephritidae. The record is from RNAcentral.
UAAUUCAUUGUAAAAGUUGUCACACAACUUUAAAAAACACUUAUUUAAUUUAUUAAUAUGGCUUCUAAUCACAAUUUUUUUUUUAGUACACCUUCCGUGUUCUACGUUUGAAACUUCAUUUAUUUUCGAAACUUUAAUAUUCAAACAUAAUGUUCAAGUUGUUGUAAUGGUAACUACUAUAUAUACUUUCAAACUAUAAUUUCUCAUUUUUAAUUAAUUUCUUUUUAAAGAAUACACAUCCUACUUGAUUUCAUAGAACCAAAAUCGCGUACAGAGAAACACAACUUGCUGUUGGAGAGUGCAAGAACUAAAUGAUUAAAGGCGACCGCUUACUGCUUUCAGGAUAAAAAUGCAUAUACCGAACAUGAAAGCAUCAUCAACGAGGAAACUCAGAGUAGGAGGUGGGAAAACAACAAGGCAACAGGACACAUGAAAAGGAAUUCACGGACACGGAUUCAACACACUAACACAUGCAUUUCUGCAUGCACAUCGUAUACAAUAAGGAACUGCAAUUGUCAUUUUUCUCUUACUGGUACAAGCGCAGGAGUAAUUUUGUUGUGGUAGGUUCACAACAACGCAAACCGGAGAAUAUUGUCAACAACUGGAAAUGUUUUAAAGGACCAGCAACCAUUUUUUAAAAGUUAAUAAUUUUAAAUCCAAAAUCAUGUUACCCGAGGGUUGUAACUAUAAACAAGACAUAUAUGU